GACGAACGCUGGCGGCGUGCUUAACACAUGCAAGUCGAACGGAAAGGCCCUGCUUUUGUGGGGUGCUCGAGUGGCGAACGGGUGAGUAACACGUGAGUAACCUGCCCUUGACUUUGGGAUAAUUUCAGGAAACUGGGGCUAAUACCGGAUAGGAGCUCCUGCUGCAUGGUGGGGGUUGGAAAGUUUCGGCGGUUGGGGAUGGACUCGCGGCUUAUCAGCUUGUUGGUGGGGUAGUGGCUUACCAAGGCUUUGACGGGUAGCCGGCCUGAGAGGGUGACCGGCCACAUUGGGACUGAGAUACGGCCCAGACUCCUACGGGAGGCAGCAGUGGGGAAUAUUGCACAAUGGGCGGAAGCCUGAUGCAGCAACGCCGUGUGCGGGAUGACGGCCUUCGGGUUGUAAACCGCUUUCGCCUGUGACGAAGCGUGAGUGACGGUAAUGGGUAAAGAAGCACCGGCUAACUACGUG
This 468-nucleotide ribosomal RNA is filed under the name uncultured bacterium. Its description in RNAcentral is "partial 16S ribosomal RNA". It matches the Rfam family "Bacterial small subunit ribosomal RNA", at positions 28 to 507 of the family's 1533-position model. The record is from RNAcentral.